GACGUAGGGUGCGAGCGUUGUCCGGAAUUACUGGGCGUAAAGAGCUCGUAGGUGGUUUGUCGCGUUGUCCGUGAAAACUCACAACUCAAUUGUGGGCGUGCGGGCGAUACGGGCAGACUGGAGUACUGCAGGGGAGACUGGAAUUCCUGGUGUAGCGGUGAAAUGCGCAGAUAUCAGGAGGAACACCAGCGGCGAAGGCGGCGCUCUGGGCCGGUACUGACACUGAGGAGCGAAAGCGUGGGUAGCAAACAGG
Molecule: ribosomal RNA, 253 nt
Filed under: uncultured bacterium
Lineage: Bacteria
Description: partial 16S ribosomal RNA
Rfam family: Bacterial small subunit ribosomal RNA
Source: RNAcentral